RNAcentral lists this ribosomal RNA (253 nucleotides) under uncultured bacterium. RNAcentral's name for it is "partial 16S ribosomal RNA". It matches the Rfam family "Bacterial small subunit ribosomal RNA", at positions 524 to 776 of the family's 1533-position model. The record is from RNAcentral.
UACGGAGGGUGCAAGCGUUAUCCGGAUUUACUGGGUUUAAAGGGUGCGCAGGCGGAUAUGUAAGUCAGUGGUGAAAUCUCCGGGCUUAACCGGGAAACUGCCGUUGAUACUAUAUAUCUUGAAUGCUGUGGAGGUAAGCAGAAUAUGUCAUGUAGCGGUGAAAUGCUUAGAGAUGACAUAGAAUACCUAUUGCGAAGGCAGCUUACUACGCAGAUAUUGACGCUCAUGCACGAAAGCGUGGGGAUCAAACAGG